Molecule: ribosomal RNA, 254 nt
Filed under: uncultured bacterium
Lineage: Bacteria
Description: partial 16S ribosomal RNA
Rfam family: Bacterial small subunit ribosomal RNA
Source: RNAcentral
UACGGGGGGAGCAAGCGUUGUUCGGAUUUACUGGGCGUAAAGGGCGCGUAGGCGGUCAGCACAAGUCAGUUGUGAAAUCUCCGGGCUUAACUCGGAAAGGUCAACUGAUACUGUGCGACUAGAGUGCAGAAGGGGCAACUGGAAUUCUCGGUGUAGCGGUGAAAUGCGUAGAUAUCUGGAGGAACACCGGUGGCGAAGGCGGCAUCCUGGACCGACACUGACACUGAGGAGCGAAAGCCAGGGGAGCAAACGGG